Molecule: transfer RNA, 591 nt
Filed under: uncultured Flavobacteriaceae bacterium
Lineage: Bacteria; Pseudomonadati; Bacteroidota; Flavobacteriia; Flavobacteriales; Flavobacteriaceae
Description: 16S-23S ribosomal RNA intergenic spacer
Rfam family: tRNA (bases 129-202)
Source: RNAcentral
AGAGACUUAUUUGUCAGAGCAAUCUGGUACAUAAGUAGAAAGACGACGAUACAACAAACACAGGCUUAAAGUUAAUUUCUAUUCGCUUAGCUGUCAUUUUUUUUACUGAAAAAUUACCCAACAAGUAGAGUCUCGUAGCUCAGCUGGUUAGAGCGCUACACUGAUAAUGUAGAGGUCGGCAGUUCGAGUCUGCCCGAGACUACAAUAUCUUUUAAUUUAUAAUUGAAAAUUAAGACUACAAUUUGGGUGCUUCACAGAAAUAAAGAGAAUCUAGGGUUAGCAAUGCCCCAAACGGGGAUUAUUGCCCCUGUUUCAACUAUGGGGGAUUAGCUCAGCUGGCUAGAGCACUUGAUUUGCAUUCAAGAGGUCAUCGGUUCGACUCCGAUAUUCUCCACUAAUUAAUUGAAAGCCUUCAAUAUUAAUCAAUAGUUUUCUUAUUGAGUAUUAAUUAAAGGUUUAUUGAUUAACUGAAGUUCUUUGACAUAUUGAGAAUACAAGAGUUAACUAUUAUAAAAAUUUAUAAUAGAGUAACGAGCAAAUAAUAGAGAAUAAAUUUUAGAAGCAAUUUUAAAGAAAGAGUAACUAAGUUAC